CAGUCGCCGCGGUAAUACGUAGGUCCCGAGCGUUGUCCGGAUUUAUUGGGCGUAAAGCGAGCGCAGGCGGUUAGAUAAGUCUGAAGUUAAAGGCUGUGGCUUAACCAUAGUACGCUUUGGAAACUGUUUAACUUGAGUGCAAGAGGGGAGAGUGGAAUUCCAUGUGUAGCGGUGAAAUGCGUAGAUAUAUGGAGGAACACCGGUGGCGAAAGCGGCUCUCUGGCUUGUAACUGACGCUGAGGCUCGAAAGCGUGGGGAGCAAACAGGAUUAGAUACCCGCGUAGUCCCUGUCUCUUAUACC
Molecule: ribosomal RNA, 301 nt
Filed under: uncultured bacterium
Lineage: Bacteria
Description: partial 16S ribosomal RNA
Rfam family: Bacterial small subunit ribosomal RNA
Source: RNAcentral